GGGAAGCACGGGAGCGACGCUGGGACAACAACUUCACUUUGCUACCCUGCUUCCAACAGACAGCACCCAUGCACCCCAAACUCUUGGCAAAAAGGGGUGCUUUCCCCUUCCCCCCCCCCCCCCCCCCCAACACCCCCCUUGUUUUUUUCUUAAUUCUUUGCAAAACUUCAGCCUUCUCUCGUGCAACUUCAGCCCGAGGCACAGCGGCGACUUUCUGUCCGCCGAUGGGGUCGCCACCUGCAAGGCUGUGCCGGCAACCCUGCUCUGUUGUUGCUGGGUGGCUCUGGGGGCUCUGCAGGUCCCACUGUUACUGUGGGGCUGCCUCUGCCCCCCUCUCCAGCCCCCGCCAGGCUGCCUUGCCCCACGGCUUCCUACUCGCCCCACCCAUGUUUACAUACGAUCAACCAGGCGGCCGCAGCCUCCUGCACAAAGGGCAGAGUCCUCCUCGG
Molecule: long non-coding RNA, 449 nt
Filed under: Gallus gallus (chicken)
Lineage: Eukaryota; Metazoa; Chordata; Aves; Galliformes; Phasianidae
Description: lncRNA (ENSGALG00010020901.1)
Source: RNAcentral